CAGAGUUGCAAAACUCCCAACCAUUGUGAACCUACCUCACCGUUGCUUCGGCGGGUGGCCCGGGGCAACCCAGGCCAGCGCCGGCUCCCUCUCUCGGGGGCCCGGCAAGCCCGUCAGAGGACCGAAACCCUGUAAUUACUGGCCUUCUCUGAGUAACUUAUACAAUAAGUCA
This 172-nucleotide unclassified non-coding RNA is filed under the name soil metagenome. Its description in RNAcentral is "partial internal transcribed spacer 1". The record is from RNAcentral.